This 253-nucleotide ribosomal RNA is filed under the name uncultured bacterium. RNAcentral's name for it is "partial 16S ribosomal RNA". It matches the Rfam family "Bacterial small subunit ribosomal RNA", at positions 524 to 776 of the family's 1533-position model. The record is from RNAcentral.
UACGGGGGGGGCAAGCGUUGUUCGGAAUUACUGGGCGUAAAGGGUUCGUAGGUGGCCAACUAAGUCAGACGUGAAAUCCCUCAGCUUAACUGGGGAACUGCGUCUGAUACUGGUUGGCUUGAGUGCAGGAGAGGAACGCGGAAUUCCAGGUGUAGCGGUGAAAUGCGUAGAUAUCUGGAGGAACACCGGCGGCGAAGGCGGCGUUCUGGACUGCAACUGACACUGAGGAACGAAAGCCAGGGGAGCAAACGGG